AGAGUUUGAUCAUGGCUCAGGAUGAACGCUAGCUACAGGCUUAACACAUGCAAGUCGAGGGGCAGCAUGGUUUGUAGCAAUACAGAUUGAUGGCGACCGGCGCACGGGUGAGUAACGCGUAUGCAACUUACCUAUCAGAGGGGGAUAGCCCGGCGAAAGUCGGAUUAAUACCCCAUAAAACAGGGGUCCCGCAUGGGAAUAUUUGUUAAAGAUUCAUCGCUGAUAGAUAGGCAUGCGUUCCAUUAGGCAGUUGGCGGGGUAACAGCCCACAAACCGACGAUGGAUAGGGGUUCUGAGAGGAAGGUCCCCCACAUUGGUACUGAGACACGGACCAAACUCCUACGGGAGGCA
Molecule: ribosomal RNA, 351 nt
Filed under: uncultured bacterium
Lineage: Bacteria
Description: bacterial SSU rRNA
Rfam family: Bacterial small subunit ribosomal RNA
Source: RNAcentral